GAUGAACGCUGGCGGCGUGCCUAAUACAUGCAAGUCGAGCGAACGGAUGAGAAGCUUGCUUCUCUGAUGUUAGCGGCGGACGGGUGAGUAACACGUGGAUAACCUACCUAUAAGACUGGGAUAACUUCGGGAAACCGGAGCUAAUACCGGAUAAUAUUUUGAACCGCAUGGUUCAAAAGUGAAAGACGGUCUUGCUGUCACUUAUAGAUGGAUCCGCGCUGCAUUAGCUAGUUGGUAAGGUAACGGCUUACCAAGGCAACGAUGCAUAGCCGACCUGAGAGGGUGAUCGGCCACACUGGAACUGAGACACGGUCCAGACUCCUACGGGAGGCAGCAGUAGGGAAUCUUCCGCAAUGGGCGAAAGCCUGACGGAGCAACGCCGCGUGAGUGAUGAAGGUCUUCGGAUCGUAAAACUCCGUUAUUAGGGAAGAACAUAUGUGUAAGUAACUGUGCACAUCUUGACGGUACCUAAUCAGAAAGCCACGGCUAACUACGUG
RNAcentral lists this ribosomal RNA (497 nucleotides) under uncultured bacterium. Its description in RNAcentral is "partial 16S ribosomal RNA". It matches the Rfam family "Bacterial small subunit ribosomal RNA", at positions 28 to 507 of the family's 1533-position model. The record is from RNAcentral.